This 190-nucleotide ribosomal RNA is filed under the name Enterocloster clostridioformis. RNAcentral's name for it is "[Clostridium] clostridioforme 16S rRNA. Bacterial SSU". It matches the Rfam family "Bacterial small subunit ribosomal RNA", at positions 19 to 190 of the family's 1533-position model. Lineage: Bacteria; Bacillati; Bacillota; Clostridia; Lachnospirales; Lachnospiraceae. The record is from RNAcentral.
CUGGCUCAGGAUGAACGCUGGCGGCGUGCCUAACACAUGCAAGUCGAACGAAGCAAUUAAGAUGAAGUUUUCGGAUGGAAUCUUGAUUGACUGAGUGGCGGACGGGUGAGUAACGCGUGGAUAACCUGCCUCACACUGGGGGAUAACAGUUAGAAAUGACUGCUAAUACCGCAUAAGCGCACAGUGCCGC